GGGUAAUGAUGUUUAAACCUAUUCCAUUGCUGAAACGUAUUGUGGAAAACAAAAGCUGAACUC
Molecule: small nucleolar RNA, 63 nt
Organism: Laticauda laticaudata (blue-ringed sea krait)
Lineage: Eukaryota; Metazoa; Chordata; Lepidosauria; Squamata; Elapidae
Product: small nucleolar RNA, C/D box 98
Source: Ensembl